RNAcentral lists this ribosomal RNA (253 nucleotides) under uncultured bacterium. RNAcentral's name for it is "partial 16S ribosomal RNA". It matches the Rfam family "Bacterial small subunit ribosomal RNA", at positions 524 to 776 of the family's 1533-position model. The record is from RNAcentral.
UACGGGGGGGGCAAGCGUUGUUCGGAAUUACUGGGCGUAAAGGGCUCGUAGGUGGCCAACUAAGUCAGACGUGAAAUCCCUCGGCUUAACCGGGGAACUGCGUCUGAUACUGGAUGGCUUGAGUUCGGGAGAGGGAUGCGGAAUUCCAGGUGUAGCGGUGAAAUGCGUAGAUAUCUGGAGGAACACCGGUGGCGAAGGCGGUUCUCUGGGCCAGUACUGACGCUGAGGAGCGAAAGCGUGGGUAGCAAACAGG